AAAGUCGUAACAAGGUCUCCGUAGGUGAACCUGCGGAGGGAUCAUUACAAGUGACCCCGGUUUACCACCGGGAUGUUCAUAACCCUUUGUUGUCCGACUCUGUUGCCUCCGGGGCGACCCUGCCUUCGGGCGGGGGCUCCGGGUGGACACUUCAAACUCUUGCGUAACUUUGCAGUCUGAGUAAACUUAAUUAAUAAAUUAAAACUUUUAACAACGGAUCUCUUGGUUCUG
This 231-nucleotide unclassified non-coding RNA is filed under the name Cladosporium delicatulum. RNAcentral's name for it is "partial internal transcribed spacer region". The stretch from base 1 to 47 matches the Rfam family "Eukaryotic small subunit ribosomal RNA", at positions 1785 to 1831 of the family's 1831-position model. Lineage: Eukaryota; Fungi; Ascomycota; Dothideomycetes; Cladosporiales; Cladosporiaceae. The record is from RNAcentral.